This 497-nucleotide ribosomal RNA is filed under the name uncultured bacterium. RNAcentral's name for it is "partial 16S ribosomal RNA". It matches the Rfam family "Bacterial small subunit ribosomal RNA", at positions 28 to 507 of the family's 1533-position model. The record is from RNAcentral.
GAUGAACGCUGGCGGCGUGCCUAAUACAUGCAAGUCGAGCGAACGGACGAGAAGCUUGCUUCUCUGAUGUUAGCGGCGGACGGGUGAGUAACACGUGGAUAACCUACCUAUAAGACUGGGAUAACUUCGGGAAACCGGAGCUAAUACCGGAUAAUCUUUUGAACCGCAUGGUUCAAAAGUGAAAGACGGUCUUGCUGUCACUUAUAGAUGGAUCCGCGCUGCAUUAGCUAGUUGGUAAGGUAACGGCUUACCAAGGCAACGAUGCAUAGCCGACCUGAGAGGGUGAUCGGCCACACUGGAACUGAGACACGGUCCAGGCUCCUACGGGAGGCAGCAGUAGGGAAUCGUCCGCAAUGGGCGAAAGCCUGACGGAGCAGCGCCGCGUGAGUGAUGAAGGUCUUCGGAUCGUAAAACUCUGUUACUAGGGAAGAACAGAUGUGUAAGUAGCUGUGCACAUCGUGACGGUACCUAAUCAGAAAGCCACGGCUAACUACGUG